This 259-nucleotide small RNA is filed under the name Bacillus sp. CECT 9360. Its description in RNAcentral is "BsrG". It matches the Rfam family "BsrG". From Rfam's summary of the family: bsrE, bsrG and bsrH pair through intermolecular interactions with antisense sRNAs. SR4 interaction with the 3'UTR of bsrG RNA promotes bsrG degradation and inhibits its translation. SR5 also overlaps bsrG from nucleotide 163 to 52 (Rfam overlap check). Lineage: Bacteria; Bacillati; Bacillota; Bacilli; Caryophanales; Bacillaceae. The record is from RNAcentral.
CGAUAGGACAAUCCCUAGGAGGUCUCCUAAGGGCGGUCGGCUAACCCCGAGGAAAGGGGGUGAAGCCUUGACAAUUUUCGAAACCUUAAUGGCGAUGUUUACUUUUGCUACUCUGAUAAUUGCCAUUUUGUCAUUCCAAAAUAAAAAAUAGACCUCCCUUGUCCGAAAAAUGAGGGAGAGGUCUAUUCAUCCAAUGUAGGCCGAUCCCCUAUUGGGGGGACCAUGUCUAUCGUAGGCCGUAAAUGCUGCAACAUUUACG